Molecule: ribosomal RNA, 468 nt
Filed under: uncultured bacterium
Lineage: Bacteria
Description: partial 16S ribosomal RNA
Rfam family: Bacterial small subunit ribosomal RNA
Source: RNAcentral
GACGAACGCUGGCGGCGUGCUUAACACAUGCAAGUCGAACGGACAGGCCCUGCUUUUGUGGGGUGCUCGAUUGGCGAACGGGUGAGUAACACGUGAGUAACCUGCCCUUGACUUUGUGAUAACUUCAGGAAACUGGGGCUAAUACCGGAUAGGAUCUCCUGCUGCAUGGUGUGGGUUGGAAAGUUUCGGCGGUUGGGUCUGGUCUCGCGGCUUCUCCGCUUGUUUGUGGGGUAGUGGCUUACCAAGGCUUUGACGGGUAGCCGGCCUGAGAGGGUGGACGGCGACAAGGGGACUGAGAUACGGCCCAGACUGCUACGGGAGGCAGCAGUGGGGAAUAUUGCACAAUGGGCGGAAGCCUGAUGCAGCAACGCCGCGUGCGGGAUGACGGCCUUCGGGUUGUAAACCGCUGUCGCCGGUGACGAAGAGUGAGUGACGGUAAUGGGUAAAGAAGCACCGGCUAACUACGUG